This 200-nucleotide ribosomal RNA is filed under the name uncultured bacterium. RNAcentral's name for it is "partial 16S ribosomal RNA". It matches the Rfam family "Bacterial small subunit ribosomal RNA", at positions 28 to 240 of the family's 1533-position model. The record is from RNAcentral.
GAUGAACGCUAGCGGCAGGCUUAAUACAUGCAAGGCGAAGGGGCAGCAAUGUCACUGUCGUACGGGUGCGUAACGCGUAUGCAACCUACCUAUCACUGGGGGAUAGCCCGGGGAAACCCGGAUUAAUACCGCAUAACGCAGGGGCUCCUCAUGGAGAUAUUUGUUAAAGAUUUAUCGGUGGUAGAUGGGCAUGCGUUCGA